This 619-nucleotide ribosomal RNA is filed under the name uncultured bacterium. RNAcentral describes it as "bacterial SSU rRNA". It matches the Rfam family "Bacterial small subunit ribosomal RNA", at positions 338 to 951 of the family's 1533-position model. The record is from RNAcentral.
CCUACGGGAGGCAGCAGUGGGGAAUUUUGGACAAUGGGCGCAAGCCUGAUCCAGCAAUGCCGCGUGAGUGAAGAAGGCCUUCGGGUUGUAAAGCUCUUUUGUCAGGGAAGAAACGGUGGGGGCUAAUAUCUCCCACUAAUGACGGUACCUGAAGAAUAAGCACCGGCUAACUACGUGCCAGCAGCCGCGGUAAUACGUAGGGUGCAAGCGUUAAUCGGAAUUACUGGGCGUAAAGCGUGCGCAGGCGGUUUUGUAAGUUUGUCGUGAAAUCCCCGGGCUCAACCUGGGAAUGGCGAUGAAGACUGCAAGGCUAGAAUCUGGCAGAGGGGGGUAGAAUUCCACGUGUAGCAGUGAAAUGCGUAGAGAUGUGGAGGAACACCGAUGGCGAAGGCAGCCCCCUGGGUCAAGAUUGACGCUCAUGCACGAAAGCGUGGGGAGCAAACAGGAUUAGAUACCCUGGUAGUCCACGCCCUAAACCGAUGUCUACUAGUUGUCGGGUUUAAUUAACUUGUAACGCAGCUAACGCGUGAAGUAGACCGCCUGGGGAGUACGGUCGCAAGAUUAAACUCAAAGAGUAGUGACGNGNGAGAGNGACGACGACGACGACGGAGGGAGGAGG